RNAcentral lists this non-coding RNA (30 nucleotides) under Rattus norvegicus (Norway rat). Lineage: Eukaryota; Metazoa; Chordata; Mammalia; Rodentia; Muridae. The record is from RNAcentral.
UGUCACAUGUGAAAAGUGAUAUGCAGAUGC